RNAcentral lists this ribosomal RNA (663 nucleotides) under uncultured soil bacterium. Its description in RNAcentral is "bacterial SSU rRNA". It matches the Rfam family "Bacterial small subunit ribosomal RNA", at positions 8 to 653 of the family's 1533-position model. The record is from RNAcentral.
AGAGUUUGAUCAUGGCUCAGAAUCAACGCUGGCGGCGUGCCUCAGACAUGCAAGUCGAACGCGAAAGCCCUUCGGGGCAAGUAGAGUGGCGCACGGGUGAGUAACACGUAGGUAAUCUACCUUUGGAUUGGGAAUAACAACCGGAAACGGUUGCUAAUACCGAAUAAUGCAGCGGCACCUAAUGGUGACAGUUGUUAAAGCGGGGGAUCGCAAGACCUCGCGUCUGAAGAGGAGCCUGCGGCAGAUUAGCUAGUUGGUAAGGUAAUGGCUUACCAAGGCGAUGAUCUGUAGCCGGCCUGAGAGGGCGGUCGGCCACACUGACACUGACAUACGGGUCAGACUCCUACGGGAGGCAGCAGUCGGGAAUUUUGGGCAAUGGGCGAAAGCCUGACCCAGCAACGCCGCGUGAAGGAUGAAAUCCCUCGGGAUGUAAACUUCGCAAGAACGGGAAGAAUAAGUGAGAGCUAACAUCUCUUACGAUGACGGUACUGUUUGUAAGCUCCGGCUAACUCCGUGCCAGCAGCCGCGGUAAUACGGGGGGAGCAAGCGUUGUUCGGAUUUACUGGGCGUAGAGGGCGCGUAGGCGGCCACCGCAAGUCGACUGUGAAAUCUCCGGGCUUAACCCGGAACGGUCAGCCGAUACUGCGGGGCUAGAGUGCAGAA